GGAAAAUGUAUGAUCAAAGCGUCUUCUCAUUUGGAAUUCCUUCACCUAUGUUUGUGCCGUUAGCAACAGUAUCGAUCAUCAAUCUAAUAGCAUUUGUCAAAGGAAUCGAGACAGUAAUCUUUGGGAUGGAAAGUUUAGACGAGUUAUUCAUCCAACUAUUCAUUGCUGGAUUUGCAGUUGUCAAUUGCUUGCCGAUUUACGAGGCAAUGUUACUUAGAUCUGAUCAUGGCAAGAUGCCUAAGAAGAUAGCCAUUACUUCCUCUGUUCUUGCUGGGGUGCUCUGCAUUGCAUUUUCCUUAUUUGUAAGUUGAAAUUCCCGUAGUUGUAAAAGAUAAUGUCAACAAAUUUAGUUGAAAUUCCCCAUGUUGGUGGGGUGGGGCGCCCGUUGAUAAUAAAAAGAAGAUGAGGGCAUAA
Molecule: unclassified non-coding RNA, 414 nt
Filed under: Hevea brasiliensis (rubber tree)
Lineage: Eukaryota; Viridiplantae; Streptophyta; Magnoliopsida; Malpighiales; Euphorbiaceae
Source: RNAcentral